Long non-coding RNA from Columba livia (rock pigeon), 3171 nucleotides. RefSeq lists it as uncharacterized. NCBI's taxonomy places the organism in Eukaryota, Metazoa, Chordata, Aves, Columbiformes, Columbidae. The transcript has 2 exons. The record is from RefSeq and is a predicted model, not a curated record.
AAAGAGAACAGCUCAAGGAGGAGCCACUAAAAAUGACAAAGAAAGCCUGCCUGUGUGUAUAUGCUGACCUUCAUUCUGCGCUCAUUUAGGACAGAGUAAAUCAGGAGAAGGAAUGAAUUGCAGUGAAUGAAGCUGGAAUUAAAUAAAAACCUGAGCAGCACCUUGCGGGCCAAGUUGAACUAUGACCAUGAAAUUACACAGCUCUUUAAAGUCCCUGUUGGAUGCUCUAGAGCAAACUCAUUUUCACCAGAGGCCACAUCAGCCUCGCAGUUGCCUUCAAAGGGCCAAAUGUAAUUUUAGGGCUGUAUAAAUAUAACUACGCCUAUGAGUUUGACAGCCCUGGUCUAGAGAGUGGCGACAGAAAUGAGACAACAACUGGCAUAUCCAGCCUGUGCAGUGGGAACCCCCUUCCAGUAGUUUUCCAGGAGCUGGAAGGUGCACUCGGACAGUAGGGCAGGGCCGGGGCCAUCUGUGAUCACAUCAGAUAUGCAUGGCCAGUUCUCUGACAGUCCGAGGUGAACGCGCUGUUCACAUCUGCGGGGCUAGAUGAGGUAAGGGGAAGCACAUCAUGAAGAUUUUAUAGGAUUCCUACUUGGAUUUAUCUGCAAAUCAGGUUGGUUCCACGUUAAAACAUUCUUUUUAGAAGGACAAACCCAUUUUCAAGGGGAAAGAGGUAGACUAUGGUAAGAGCUGUCAGGGGACAAUGACACCAGCUGCUGGGAGGUCAGGGCUUUGCUGUUGCCUAGUUCUGUGUGUGAGAAACCACCCAGGUCCCACAUGUUGAUGUCUUGUACCCUUCCCCUUCCCUGCAUCCCCACCAUACAGAAAGAAAGAGCAACCCCAGCCCAUGAGGCAGAAAACAGUGCCUGGUGCUUACCUGGGAAGAGAGGUCACCCCAGAAGCACAGGGAAUUAAGCUCUCAGACUCCAGAACUAUUAUUCCAAGCCUACUUCUAAGGGAAAUCAGAUUCAGUCUGCAUUGGAGAAGUCCAUCCAUCCAUCUCCAAGCCCCACUGGUUUGACUGGAGAACAACUGAGGUGCGACGCACACAUGAAAAUACAAGUGCUCAGCGGCACAUGUGAAAUAAGCGUGGUGGUUUUCUGCGGGCAAGCGUUGAGCCUGGCUCUCUAAAUCUGCUGCUUUGCCAGGUUAACUGGAAGAACUGAGAAAUUAGGAUUUGCUAGAGACUGGCAAUGGCUCCUUCCCUGCCAGGCUGUGAACUCCCUGUGGAAGGGCCACCAUGCUGCCUGUUCACACCAUGGAGUUCAGAUCACGGAGGAGCUAUUUAUGACUGUAAAGGCAAGGCUGAUAACCAAGAAUAAUGGUCAAAAUAACAUGGUAUGGUGGAAAAUUAUUUGUUCCUGCUGAGGCCUGGGACUGCAUCUGACUUGUGAGUGAAGAGGGGGUGUUUUUUGCCUGCAGAAAGAUGCGUUGCCUUCGGUGCAAUGCAUGCUUGAUUCCCUCCCUGCUCGUUAGCAGCGCUCGUUACUGUCUUCCCAGCAGGUUUUUCCCAAAUGCCUUGCUGUUUCCCAGGACCUCAGUGCCACCGAGCGAGAUUAACCCCAAGCUUUGGUCUGAUGAUCAUGUUGAAUGGAAAUGAAACGUUGGAAACUGAGGAGUCCAUUGAAUUCCUCCUCAAAACCAGGUUUUCCAGCUGCUGUGAAAAGGAGCCUUUCUAGAAGAUAUUUUAAUUUUGCACCCGGUUAUUUCAUUCUGGAGCUGGAAUGCCAUAGAAAUAGUUUUGCCCUGGCCUUAUGCUGGUGAGACCUCCAUCUGCUGGUGGCCAGGCACCAGUGCACAAUGUGUUUGCAGCCGGAGCCCCCAAAUUUUACCAAACCAGGAAGGGCUUGGGCAGAUAUGUAGGGAACUACACUGAUGUACUACAGGCUUUCUUCAGAAACCAACAUCUGGGGAGCUAUUCACAGAGAUUGCUGGGGGUUCUCCCUCUCUGAUUUCUAAGCACUGCAUCAGACAUCACCCUCCCUCCAGGAUUUCUGCAGGCCCCAGUGUAUCCUGAUGCUCAGUGCUUUGCUUUAAAUGUUAUGGCAUAUAUAAUGUGCCAGCUGAGAGGGACCUUGCAAAGACCCAGCUCAUCCCCUUCUUGAGCAGAUGUGUGUGCAGCUUAUUCUGACAGUUUCCCCAACAUGGACACCUUAUGAUCUUGCCAAGAAAUCUCUAUCAGCUCUACAAGCCCUAAAAAAAAUUCCCACCACCUUAUCUGAACCAUCCUGGUCAUAACUGAGACCCACGACAUUUUGCCCUGAAAGACAUGCAAGGCACCUGGCUCCGUCACAUUUUUGUAUUAACCAGGAAAGGUUAAUUCUGCUAAUAGCACCAAGCUGGAAUACUUGCUUUCUCAGGCAGUACAUUGACUUUCCACCAUCUCCUAUAGUCCUUUUCACCUGCAGAAUGUGAGUUUUCAAAUAUUAUUCCAUUAAAACACUAGUGUUUAUGCCCACUUUGCACUGAUACACAACAGCAGCAGAGAAUCACACUGGGGUGGACUUUUCACCAUUAAGUACUGGAGUAAAUACUUGCAGACUCAGUAUAUAACAGAAGCAGGUUGGAUAAAAGGUAGAAUUUACAUUCAAUACCUCUGGAGAGGUAACUGGAGAAUUAAAAGUACCUAUAAUAAAACUAGAUGCUUGGUGGAUCUUUUAAAUAUGUGGCCAGAUUUUGCCACUUGUUCAUAUAAAGUAGCACUGAUGCCUUGAGGAAUCUCCUUGGUCUUAGGGGGACAGGGCAGGGAACAAGCAGCCAAUUCAAAAGCCACUUCACACCCUGGGAAAUCCCACUGACUUGGUGGGUAUGACAGUGUAUGUUGCCUAAAAUUAUGCAGGUUCAUAUGCCUUGUCAGGGAAAAAAGUACUAAGGUUUAGGAUAGUGCAGUUAGCAUCUGGUCCUGAGUAGUUAAUACUGUAACCUGGCUAAUUGCAUAGCUUGGUGAUCUUCCCAUUCCCAAACAAAAUGGUAAUCACUUCCCAGAGAUCUUUCUGCAAUUAUCUCCUGAUCUUCUGGGAAAUCUUCCUAGAGAUCAAGAAUUAAAAGCUGAGCUCUCACUUCGCAUUGUGAAAUGCUGGCCUCCGUCAAAAUAGAGUUCAAGAAAUCAUUCAUUUAACUUUCUUGCUGCCACAAUAAAUAAAAAAAAAUUAAAAAAAAAAAAAAAAGAAA